GACGAACGCUGGCGGCGUGCUUAACACAUGCAAGUCGAACGGACGGGCCCUGCUUUUGUGUGGUGCUCGAGUGGCGAACGGGUGAGUAACACGUGAGUAACCUGCCCUUGACUUUGGGAUAACUUCAGGAAACUGGGGCUAAUACCGGAUAGGAGCUCCUGCUGCAUGGUGGUGGUUGGAAAGUGUCGGCGGUGGGGGAUGGACUCGCGGCUUAUCAGCUGGUUGGUGGGGUAGUGGCUUACCAAGGCUUUGACGGGUAGCCGGCCUGAGAGGGUGACCGGCCACAUUGGGACUGAGAUACGGCCCAGACUCCUACGGGAGGCAGCAGUGGGGAAUAUUGCACAAUGGGCGGAAGCCUGAUGCAGAAACGCCGCGUGCGGGAUGACGGCUUUCGGGUUGUAAACCGCUUUCGCCUGUGACGAAGCGUGAGUGACGGUAAUGGGUAAAGAAGCACCGGCUAACUACGUG
RNAcentral lists this ribosomal RNA (468 nucleotides) under uncultured bacterium. Its description in RNAcentral is "partial 16S ribosomal RNA". It matches the Rfam family "Bacterial small subunit ribosomal RNA", at positions 28 to 507 of the family's 1533-position model. The record is from RNAcentral.